UAAAAGCAAAUGGGCCCAGGAUAACUGGA
Molecule: non-coding RNA, 29 nt
Filed under: Mus musculus (house mouse)
Lineage: Eukaryota; Metazoa; Chordata; Mammalia; Rodentia; Muridae
Source: RNAcentral